This 23-nucleotide microRNA is filed under the name Eisenia fetida (common brandling worm). RNAcentral describes it as "Efe-Let-7-P12_3p* (star (passenger))". Lineage: Eukaryota; Metazoa; Annelida; Clitellata; Crassiclitellata; Lumbricidae. The record is from RNAcentral.
CUAUACAACCUUCUAACUUGUCA